UGGGGGAAUAUUGCACAAUGGGCGCAAGCCUGAUGCAGCGACGCCGCGUGCGGGAUGGAGGCCUUCGGGUUGUAAACCGCUUUUGUUCAAGGGCAAGGCACGGUCUUUGGCCGUGUUGAGUGGAUUGUUCGAAUAAGCACCGGCUAACUACGUGCC
This 156-nucleotide ribosomal RNA is filed under the name uncultured bacterium. Its description in RNAcentral is "partial 16S ribosomal RNA". It matches the Rfam family "Bacterial small subunit ribosomal RNA", at positions 354 to 509 of the family's 1533-position model. The record is from RNAcentral.